UCGCUUGAGAUCCCUGAAACAACAAGUGUGCAUGUGUUAAGGUGUGAGGAUCUGGGCACAGAAUAAACCAGAUGUGAGAAACCUUUUUCAGCCUGAGGUCAGAACCCUCUGGAGGACGGAAGGUGGCUGUUCCCUCUCACAGGAUUUUCACACAUCUAUGUGGGUCAGUUGGGCACAGAAGAACAACUGUUCACCCCUGGCUGUGCUAUUCCUGCUGAAAUAAAGGCUACACGUUCACUUUG
This is a long non-coding RNA of Podarcis raffonei (Aeolian wall lizard), 242 nucleotides long. RefSeq lists it as uncharacterized. Lineage: Eukaryota; Metazoa; Chordata; Lepidosauria; Squamata; Lacertidae. The transcript is spliced from 2 exons. The record is from RefSeq and is a predicted model, not a curated record.